AGAGUUUGAUCCUGGCUCAGGACGAACGCUGGCGGCGCGCCUAACACAUGCAAGUCGAACGGAGCUGAGAGGAGCUUGCUUUUCUUAGCUUAGUGGCGAACGGGUGAGUAACGCGUGAGUAACCUGCCCUGGAGUGGGGGACAACAGUUGGAAACGACUGCUAAUACCGCAUAAGCCCACGGCCCGGCAUCGGGCUGCGGGAAAAGGAUUUAUUCGCUUCAGGAUGGACUCGCGUCCAAUUAGCUAGUUGGUGAGGUAACGGCCCACCAAGGCGACGAUUGGUAGCCGGACUGAGAGGUUGAACGGCCACAUUGGGACUGAGACACGGCCCAGACUCCUACGGGAGGCAGCAGUGGGGGAUAUUGCACAAUGGGGGAAACCCUGAUGCAGCGACGCCGCGUGGAGGAAGAAGGUUUUCGGAUUGUAAACUCCUGUCGUUAGGGACGAUAAUGACGGUACCUAACAAGAAAGCACCGGCUAACUACGUGCCAGCAGCCGCGGUAAAACGUAGGGUGCAAGCGUUGUCCGGAAUUACUGGGUGUAAAGGGAGCGCAGGCGGACCGGCAAGUUGGAAGUGAAAACUAUGGGCUCAACCCAUAAAUUGCUUUCAAAACUGCUGGCCUUGAGUAGUGCAGAGGUAGGUGGAAUUCCCGGUGUAGCGGUGGAAUGCGUAGAUAUCGGGAGGAACACCAGUGGCGAAGGCGACCUACUGGGCACCAACUGACGCUGAGGCUCGAAAGCAUGGGUAGCAAACAGGAUUAGAUACCCUGGUAGUCCAUGCCGUAAACGAUGAUUACUAGGUGUUGGAGGAUUGACCCCUUCAGUGCCGCAGUUAACACAAUAAGUAAUCCACCUGGGGAGUACGACCGCAAGGGUUGAAACUCAAAGGAAUUGACGGGGGCCCGCACAAGCAGUGGAGUAUGUGGUUUAAUUCGAAGCAACGCGAAGAACCUUACCAGGUCUUGACAUCCGAUGCAUAGCUUAGAGAUAAGUGAAGUCCUUCGGGACAUCGAGACAGGUGGUGCAUGGUUGUCGUCAGCUCGUGUCGUGAGAUGUUGGGUUAAGUCCCGCAACGAGCGCAACCCUUAUUGCCAGUUACUACGAAAGAGGACUCUGGCGAGACUGCCGUUGACAAAACGGAGGAAGGUGGGGAUGACGUCAAAUCAUCAUGCCCUUUAUGACCUGGGCUACACACGUACUACAAUGGCGUUUAACAAAGAGAAGCAAGACCGCGAGGUGGAGCAAAACUCAAAAACAACGUCUCAGUUCAGAUUGCAGGCUGCAACUCGCCUGCAUGAAGUCGGAAUUGCUAGUAAUCGCGGAUCAGCAUGCCGCGGUGAAUACGUUCCCGGGCCUUGUACACACCGCCCGUCA
This 1374-nucleotide ribosomal RNA is filed under the name uncultured bacterium. RNAcentral describes it as "bacterial SSU rRNA". It matches the Rfam family "Bacterial small subunit ribosomal RNA". The record is from RNAcentral.